Molecule: unclassified non-coding RNA, 395 nt
Filed under: soil metagenome
Description: partial contains 5.8S ribosomal RNA, internal transcribed spacer 2, and large subunit ribosomal RNA
Rfam family: 5.8S ribosomal RNA (bases 1-122)
Source: RNAcentral
GAUGAAGAACGUAGCGAAAUGCGAUACUUGGUGUGAAUUGCAGAAUCCCGUGAACCAUCGAGUCUUUGAACGCAAGUUGCGCCCGAAGCCAUCAGGUUGAGGGCACGUCUGCCUGGGCGUCACAUAUCGUUGCCCAAUGCCUAUUGCAGUGCAAUAGGAAUUUCUAGGGCGAAUGAUGGCUUCCCGUGAGCGUUGUUGCCUCGCGGUUGGUUGAAAAUCGAGUCCUUGGUAGGGUGUGCCAUGGUAGAUGGUGGUCGAGUUAGAACGAUACCGAUCAUGUGCAUGCUCCCCAAAAUAUGGCCUCUAUGACCCACACGCGUCUUUUGACGCUCAUGACGAGACCUUAGGUCAGGCGGGGCUACCCGCUGAAUUUAAGCAUAUCAAUAAGCGGAGGA